Molecule: ribosomal RNA, 976 nt
Filed under: uncultured bacterium
Lineage: Bacteria
Description: bacterial SSU rRNA
Rfam family: Bacterial small subunit ribosomal RNA
Source: RNAcentral
AGAGUUUGAUCAUGGCUCAGAGUGAACGCUGGCGGUAGGCCUAACACAUGCAAGUCGAACGGCAGCACAGGAGAGCUUGCUCUCUGGGUGGCGAGUGGCGGACGGGUGAGGAAUACAUCGGAAUCUACCUUGUCGUGGGGGAUAACGUAGGGAAACUUACGCUAAUACCGCAUACGACCUACGGGUGAAAGUGGGGGACCGCAAGGCCUCACGCGAUUAGAUGAGCCGAUGUCGGAUUAGCUAGUUGGCGGGGUAAAAGCCCACCAAGGCGACGAUCCGUAGCUGGUCUGAGAGGAUGAUCAGCCACACUGGAACUGAGACACGGUCCAGACUCCUACGGGAGGCAGCAGUGGGGAAUAUUGGACAAUGGGCGCAAGCCUGAUCCAGCCAUACCGCGUGGGUGAAGAAGGCCUUCGGGUUGUAAAGCCCUUUUGUUGGGAAAGAAAUCUUGCCGGUUAAUACCUGGCGAGGAUGACGGUACCCAAAGAAUAAGCACCGGCUAACUUCGUGCCAGCAGCCGCGGUAAUACGAAGGGUGCAAGCGUUACUCGGAAUUACUGGGCGUAAAGCGUGCGUAGGUGGUGGUUUAAGUCUGCUGUGAAAGCCCUGGGCUCAACCUGGGAAUUGCAGUGGAUACUGGCGCACUAGAGUGUGGUAGAGGGAUGCGAAUUUCCGGUGUAGCAGUGAAAUGCGUAGAGAUCGGAAGGAACAUCCGUGGCGAAGCGGCAUCCUGGGCCAACACUGACACUGAGGCACGAAAGCGUGGGGAGCAAACAGGAUUAGAUUACCCUGGUAGUCCACGCCCUAAACGAUGCGAACUGGAUGUUGGGUGCAACUUGCACCCCACGUAUCAAAGCUAACGCGUUAAUUCGCCGCCUGGGGAAGUACGGUCGCAAGACUGAAACUCAAAGGAAUUGACGGGGCCCGCACAAACGGUGGAGUAAUGUGGUUUAAUCAUGCAACGCGAAGAACCUUAC